AACCAUUUAAUAAAGUUUACAAAAUGUAAUUUAUUAAAAGGGGCAAUUACUUAUAUACUCUGAAAAAAUUUCUGACUUUCUGAUUUACUCUUCUUAAAAGGUUAAUAUUGAAAAUACCUUUUUUACGUUCCAACCUAUUUUAAAUAUAUCUCUAGAGUUAAAAUCUGUUAAUGAAUUCUGUUAUCUCUUUAAAAUUACUAUUUUGCCCUUUCAAAAUAUACCCUUCUACCAUUAUUGACUUUUUUUAUUUGUCCUUAAGUUAGGAGCAUAAAAAAUAUUUUACUUUUUGAUUAUUUCAAAUAUACCCUUUUACUAUCAACAAUAUUUCUUAUUUGCCCUUAAGAUAAGGACAAAAGUGACAUUUUAAUUUUUUAAUUAUGAUAGAUAUUUAACUUACGUUUAAUCCAAAUUAACUUAACGGGUAGAAACUAUAGAGAUAUUUUAGAAUAACGGAGUAAUAUAUAAAGAGUAUAUUAAAAAAAAAAAUAGAGAUAAAUAAGAUAUUUUUGACCGGUGUAUAGGCAAUUAUCUUUAUUAAAAUUAAAAAUUUGGACAUCUUUUUA
RNAcentral lists this long non-coding RNA (563 nucleotides) under Ananas comosus (pineapple). Its description in RNAcentral is "long non-coding RNA (ACOM_LNC025672)". The record is from RNAcentral. Lineage: Eukaryota; Viridiplantae; Streptophyta; Magnoliopsida; Poales; Bromeliaceae.